RNAcentral lists this ribosomal RNA (484 nucleotides) under uncultured bacterium. Its description in RNAcentral is "partial 16S ribosomal RNA". It matches the Rfam family "Bacterial small subunit ribosomal RNA", at positions 30 to 507 of the family's 1533-position model. The record is from RNAcentral.
AUUGAACGCUGGCGGCAGGCCUAACACAUGCAAGUCGAGCGGAUGAAGGGAGCUUUCUCCUGGAUUCAGCGGCGGACGGGCGAGUAAUGCCCAGGAAUCUGCCUGGCAGUUGGGGAUAACGUCCGGACACGGGCGCUAAUACCGUACACGUUCUGAUGGUGAAAGUGGGGGAUCUUCGGACCUCACGCUAUCAGAUGAGCCUAGGUCGGAUUAGCUAGUUGGUGGGGUAAAGGCCUACCAAGGCGACGAUCCGUAACUGGUCUGAGAGGGUGAUCAGUCACACUGGAACUGAGACACGGUCCAGACUCCUACGGGAGGCAGCAGUGGGGAAUAUUGGGCAAUGGGCGAAAGCCUGAUCCAGCCAUGCCGCGUGUGUGAAGAAGGUCUUCGGAUUGUAAAACACUUUAAGUUGGGAAGAAGAAAAGUAAAUUAAUACCUUGCUGUUUUGACGUUACCAACAGAGUAAGCACCGGCUAACUUCGUG